Molecule: ribosomal RNA, 405 nt
Filed under: uncultured bacterium
Lineage: Bacteria
Description: bacterial SSU rRNA
Rfam family: Bacterial small subunit ribosomal RNA
Source: RNAcentral
AACGAACGCUGGCGGCGUGCCUAACACAUGCAAGUCGUGCGAGAAAGUUCCUUCGGGAGCGGGUAAAGCGGCGCACGGGUGAGUAACACGUAGGUAACCUGCCCCCCAGUCUGGAACAACUAGAGGAAACUCUAGCUAAUGCCGGAUGAGACCACGAUCCCUUCGGGGGUUGCGGCCAAAGAUGGCCUCUACUUGUAAGCUAUCGCUGAGGGAUGGGCCUGCGGGCCAUUAGCUUGUUGGUGAGGUAACGGCUCACCAAGGCUGUGAUGGCUAGCUGGUCUGAGAGGAUGACCAGCCACACUGGGAGUGAGACACGGCCCAGACUCCUACGGGAGGCAGCAGUGGGGAAUAUUGCGCAAUGGGCGAAAGCCUGACGCAGCGACGCCGCGUGGGUGAUGAAGGCCU